GGGUAGCAUAUCCCCCUACAGCGGCCAAACCCCGGUGCACCCAGCCGCUGCUCUUGAACCCCGCCUCCAUCAGCUCCACUUCACUGGAGCCGUCAGUCUGCAGGAGUAGGGGUAGCAGGUUCACCCGACGUCCGACGCCUUCUUCCAUCUCCAAAAAUCUUGUUUUUUGAGUUCAGUUCUUCAUCACAUGUUUCACUAGCUGAAAUUGCAUGGUGUUCUGAAAUUGCUUGCGGACCACUAGCUGUAAUUGCUUGACGAACAGAGCAAAGGUUGUAUCUUCGUCUACUGUUUUUCAGAUAUUCGUCAUAUGCAUGAGCACGGCUAUAUUUGCUUGUUAUGAUAUAGUGGGCACCAUUAACAUUUGAUAUUCCUUCUGCAGGGCCCAAACCCACUAUCGUGCAAGAAAAAGAAAUCAAAGCCUCAACCAUCAGCUGCUCAAAUCAUCAGGUAAUUAAUUAGCACUAAACAUACGUGUCUAAUCCAAUGUUGCGAAAGCAAGCUUGGAGUUGCCUGACUUAUCUUGAGGUGUAGAACUGAUAGUAAGACCCAGAAGAGAUAAUGCAACAAAAAUGUUAGAUAGGCAGGGGAAGUCCAUUGUGCAUUCUGAUUUGUUGUAGCUCCUGACAUCACGGUUUAUGUGUGCUGUAGGAUUGAUUUUUGUUUGGUUGUAAUAGUAAUAUCCUAAUUCUGUUCAUGGAGGACGCUUGAGUGGGUUGUCUAUUUGAUGAUUUUAGUUACUGCUCAACACCUCAUUCCAUUAGUAUAGCGAGAACUACACAAGAUAAAUAAGAUGGGAGAGGAUAAAUAUCAUUGUGUGGUUCUUUUGCCCUUAUAUUGAAUACAACUUCUAUUUGAUUUUCAGUUCACCUUUUGCGUUCUUUUCAGUUCAUAAACCUUAAGUAUUGAUGAAAUCAUGAACUAUUAUAUGUGCACUCUACGUAUUUGUUCUUAUGCCUACGAAGAAUUCUGCACUUGUGCUGCUAUGCAUCAGUUUAGGUCACCAAAAAAGCUGAUUCUUUCUUUAAUGGGCUUUAUAUGUACUUCGAGAUGCGCCAUCAGCUUCUCCUGCUCCUCCUCCUCCUGGUAUACACGAACUCCAGUUCGUCGAGAGGCUCCCUGGAGGUUCAAAACAUUUCACUUCACCAUUUUAUGUUUUUUUAGUUCAUCUUAUAAAAAGCAAAAGAAAAACUAUCUGUCACAAGUUCAGGUAUACAUGCUGCACAAGUUCAAAAAUGGGAAGAAACAAAGCUCAAACCAAGUUUAAAAAUUGUUGCCUUAAUAAAUUAGUUGGUUUGGGUUAAUUCGUUGUUAUGGACAGUACAAAUGCAUAUUGUUGUGUAGUACAUGUGUGUGUUGUGAUUGUAAUUGUGAUUUGGAGUUCACAAAAAGAUAACAAAGGGUACAUAAAAGAACCCAAAACAUUCAGUAGUCGAACUAUGUUGCUUCUAUGAUUUUCCUUAUGCAGAAAAUCAAACGUUUAAACUAUGUUUCACCUUAAAACUUAAACGUGUUUGUUCUUUGAGCUAAAAUUCCUAGAGCUUUAGUCCAACUUUUGGUGAUUAUUGUACCUAUUGUUCAGAAAUCAAUGGUGAAAAAUUCUGAUUGCAGCAAUGGCAUGCUCCAAGCCCGCCGAGACUGAAUCAUUCGACAUCAAUUCUCUGCACAGCGUGGCUCGACGUGCAGCCCGCCGGCUCCUUCGUGUACGUCCAGACAAGAUGCUAUGAUGUACAAUUUAAUGCAUGAAGUAAGCCCAUCAAUUCAGUUUCAUUUUCCAAAUUUCUUUUGAACUUGUUGUCACUUAACUUUUACAUGUAUCUAGUUAUAGUAGUACUAGCCAGAUCAAGCUACUUCAUUUUUAUGAAAUUCUAGAACUCUUACAUAUCCGUACUGUUGCUGCUCCACUCGUAUUUUCUAUUUCUUCUCAUGUGUGCACUAAACUUAUAACACUAUUCAUGACCAGCUUCUAGUUUUUUCUCUAUUAUGUGAUUCACUUCUACAAAAAAAGGUUGGGUUAUAUAAAUAGGACAAAGAUGUUUGCUUGCUUUCCAGCAAUGAAAUGGUUGGAAAUGUAUCGAUGAUGUAAAUACAGCUCUUGUCUUGUGUUUUUCAAAAAUAAAAUCACACAAGUACGUGGUGGAAGUUUGUAUCAGUUCGGAGAAAAAAAGAAACAAAGUUCAAAAAGAAAAAUCGUGAGUUCACCUUCCAUAAAGUUUAUAAGUGCAGAGAUAGCACCUUGAUGUAGUAUGAAAAUAUGUUUUGCAAAUUUGCAAUUCAGGAAUGGGUGUGUGUGUUGUAGUCUCUGGCUACAGAGUCGAUAUGUGUUUUUGUAGUGUUGGUAGUUGUAGUCUCCCGCGCUCUUUGCCGUCGUCAAGGGCGCAUGUGUGACGUCCUCAGUCCAACCCCAUGGCAUCAGGGUGGUUGAGUUCGUCGCGACCAGCUGUCCAUGGUUGUCGGCUUCAACUUUAUUCCACCUAGGUGCUUUCACUUCUUUUUGGAUGUUUUUUGUAUGAAUCUGCAUUUUGGUUAUUAAAUUCAGUACGACGAAACGCAUGAAUCCCCAACGUGUACCAAAUUACUGAUUCUAUUAAAAACGGUUAGUAGAUUUCGCCAUUGGUUGGUCUACUUGUGUAAAUCUAUCAGUUCAUGACAAGUAACUUCAGAUGCUAGAAAUGUAGGAUGUUUGUGUGAAUCUUGCUUGUUUCAGAGAGAAAAAGAGUUUGUAGUUCCUUUGGGACUAUAAUACUUGUAUCUGCAGUACUGGUUGGGAAAUUUUGGUAGUUCAUUUUGCUUAUAUCUGCAUGUUGUCUCUUCCUGCAGGACCCGACCCAACCAGCGUCGCCAUGGCACGGCGCCUACUGGCGAAGGACCACCACCUCCCCGACGACGUGCCCAAACCCGCCGACGAGGCCCGCCGCCCCAACCCUCCUCCUUCCUCCUCGCAUCGGGAUGAGCAAGAUCCAGCCGGCGCCUAAAGCCCAUUCCACCAUUGUACCUCUCCCUUCCGCUCGCUGCACUGACCGGUGUGACAUAGCGCCGCCGCCAAGGUAAACUUCUUUCCUCCCAUCAUCGCCCCUGCAUCUCCUAGACAAGAUGGUUGGUUCGAUGACUUCUUCAUCGGUAUUUCGAUUUAGGCUAUGACACCUGUGUUGCAUAGUAGGUGUUUGCAAUAAUGCAUGAGCCAAAGAAGCUUAUUUUUUGUUGUUUCUAUUUUCAGCUAAAUUAAGAAAGAAUUUCAUUUUGGUUCCUCUGUGGUGCUUGAGAUAAAUUAUAAUCAGUUCAUGUGCGUUCGCGCGAGAAGUUCCCUUAUGAAAAUUAAAUCAAAUAGUCCGUGCACAGUAAAAGGGAAUAUUUACAAAGAAAAAUGUACGAAAAGUACAUUUAUCAUAUUUUGUGAAGUUCUAGAAAAAGAAAAGGAAAAGUUCAAGCAAAACCAAAAAGUUCAAAAAUAGGGCCGUUGUUGGUGUCCUGGGUCAGUUCAUGUGCUACCAUUGGAGGAGUUUAAAAAAUCAGAACUAGUGCAUUUCCAUAAAAUUCUGUAGUUUCGUGUGUGUGUUGCUACAAAUAUGAACAAUUUUUUUCCAAUCAUACUAGUACUGAUGCAAUCACCUAAAAUAAGUUGAAGAAAAAUUCUGUAAGUUUGGUGCAUGUGUUGCUACAAAAAUCUAUUGUAUGUCUGUGUGUAGCUACUGUAUGUCUUCUGAAUCAUGAUGCAUGAUAUUCUUUUAGGAAAAAACAUUUCAGGUUAUUGGUGCCGCUGGAUAACUGUCAUAGUUUGUCGCCAGCAAAGUCCUCGAACUUGGCCUACACCAGUAGUAGAACUUACUGGUUCUCCAUGACCUAAAGUUGAAAACAGACAAAAAUUCUCAAGUAAUGUAAUCUGUAGCAAAAUACACGAUUUUUUUAUCGAAAUGUUUGUAACUAGAGGAUUAUAACCACUACAGGAUGCCAAAAAAGUAUCAAACUGCACAAGUAGUGUUCCAUUUAUCUUUCUCUCAUGCCUUCCCUUUUGAUCUUAUAGGGAUUGAGGCUUCGCCAAGGAACAAGACUGGUAACUAGCGCAAAGGAGACUAUGUCGAGAGGUGGCACUGCUAGACUUGCUGAUGUGUAGUUAUGGCAUAAAAAAGAUGAAAAAAAUGGUAUCUUGUAUGAUUCCAUAAAGUGUACGUAUCAAAUCUUCCCAUGUGGAUCAGUACAACUUAUGUACGGCCUUGAGUUCACAAAUCUUAUAGUAAUCUUUGUAGUACUUUCCGUAACACUAAGUAAAGCAAGAGUAGCCCUUUUUUGUGAGCAACAAUUCAAACGAAUCUGUUGUAUCAGUUCUUAUGAUAGAUAGAAGAAAGUUCACCAGCCAAAAGGUUAGAGAAGUCUACCUUAUAAUUUGCAAUCUUUAAAGAUAAUGAUCAGUUUGAAUUAAAAAAUUGGUUUUUGCAUUAAAAACAAUGAUCAGAUCAAAUUAAAAACAAUGAUCAAUUUGAAUUAAAAAAUAAAUGAUCAGUUCGAACAAGAAACAAUUGUC
This 4516-nucleotide long non-coding RNA is filed under the name Triticum aestivum (bread wheat). RNAcentral's name for it is "long non-coding RNA (TAES_LNC005191)". The record is from RNAcentral. Lineage: Eukaryota; Viridiplantae; Streptophyta; Magnoliopsida; Poales; Poaceae.